CGAAAGUUGAGUUAUCCCCUGGCAGGGUCAUAACCAUGAGCGCCGAAUACAGGGCACAACAUAGUCACCUCCCCAUGGAUUAUUUCAUGUUCAAAAUUAAAAUUUAAAUACAGUGAUAAAUUCCUCACCCCCAAGACUUUUUUGAAACACGGUGUCCGUGGGCUUAGUUCUUUUAAAAAUAAACUAAAAAAACACAUUAUUAUCUAUGUCGCACAAUAACCAUGUUUAUAAUGAUUAAAUAUUAUAUUACAAUGUUAAAUUUUUAA
Cinara cedri is the source of this 266-nucleotide non-coding RNA. The record is from the annotation of a GenBank genome assembly. Lineage: Eukaryota; Metazoa; Arthropoda; Insecta; Hemiptera; Aphididae.